GCCACAUACCUGUGUGUGCUGCAGGGAAGAACAGUGAUGCUUACUAAAUCACUAUGAACAAUUAAAGCAGCAGAGGGGAGGAAGACAGCGCUAUAGUUUCCAGCUCCCCAGUCCUCCUCUGCCCCUGCAUGAAUUUCAUAAAGCACAAUUCCCUCAGCAGAAAUCCCUCAGCAAUUGAUUUCCUGCUCGUGGAAUACAGCUGGCAGACACCCAGGCUUUCCUGGACAGAAAAGGAGAAUUUGCCUUGAUGUUUUCCCCAGCCAUGCAGCUGUGAUGUCAAAUCCACCCUCCCUGCCCUGCCAGGAGAUUCCUGAAGUGACAUGUUCCUGUGGGGUGACAAUGCUCUGGAGAAGCACAGAGAUCUCUGUGUCAGUGAAUGGAAGCCCCGCAAGAGCAGAUCCCUAAUUCAGGCUCCUUCUUUGUUCACAAGCAGUUUCCAGCAGAAAAUUCUCAGUGGUUGCAUUUCCCCAGAACAGCACAUUUCAAGCACAAUUUUCCCUUGAGCUUUUCUGCCUUCCACAAAAGCAGCAUGCCCAGGAUUGCUUUGGAGAAGAGCAAAUAGCUCCAGCACAAAGAGGAGCACCAGGAAACAGAGCAAAACCAACAGCCCAGACCAUCCAAACCCACUUACCGGCCCAGUGCCACAUCUCCUGGACUCACCUGAAUGCUCAGGGGAGUCUCAAAAGCCAACUGUUUUCUGAGAAACAGCUGUGCAAAAGAAAGGUAAAUGGCAGGGGCAAUCAGCCCCACACAAGCACCUCUGACAGGGUGUUAUGGGUUAACACGGUUUGUUUUUUUAGUUAAAGAAUAAUGGGACUAUUGCCCUGUCAGGACCUUGGAUUUCUUUAGAAAAGCCGAGGACCUAUCAAGCGCCAGUUCUUGACUAUUGCCAUGUGGUUUGACCACUGAGAAAACAGAAUGCGACUUUUGGUAAUAGCCAUAUAAAACUGAGGCUUUGUUGGAGCUCUCCCUCUCUUUUCUCCCGGUGAGCCGCCAGGUAACGUCGUGGGCCAUGGCAGGGCCCGGCUUAGGCCCGCUCCGCCUUGGGCGGCCGGGCCCGGCCCAGCCGGGUCUCUGUGAGCCGCUGCCGCAGGGAGCGGCCCGGGCAGCCGAGCCCAGCUCCUCUUCUCUCCCGGCUGCCGCAGGGAGCGGCCCGGGCAGCCGAGCCCGGCUCCUCUUCUCUCCCGGCUGCCGCAGGGAGCGGCCCGGGCAGCCGAGCCCAGCUCCUCUUCUCUCCCGGCUGCCGCAGGGAGCGGCCCGGGCAGCCGAGCCCAGCUCCUCUUCUCUCCCGGCUGCCGGCGGGGGACACGGGGGGCUCUGGCUCCGCAGGGCUGGCCGCAGGCUGGAUCAGAUCGAGGGGUGGGUAAGAAAGCAUCCACCCGCCUCCUCUCCCGGCAGGGCUUUGAGAUCUUUGCAGCUGCCGCCCGGCAAGAACCACACGAGCACCGCAGGCCUGGGCAAGCUUCAACUCUUUCCUGCCAGCAAAUGGGACUCCCAGAGCACCAGCCCUUCCUGAGCCUGAGGAAGGAGCUGCAGUUGUUGUCCCUCCAGAGUGGGGUACAAGGGCCACAGCUGUCCCAGUUUCAGAGACAGGUGCCUUGCAGCCAGGAUGACAGGACAGGAUGAUGACACAGAUGAUUCUACCUAACUUGACAAGCCCAGCCUCUCCCAGCCAGUGAUGCAUCCCACACAGCACUGAAGAUGGAACAUUCCUGUGGAGGAGCUGUCAAACGGGAUUCCCAACAAUACAGGUUUUCAACUUGGUAACCUCCAGGCUUAUUACUUGAGAGUUACAAACUUGCAUCUUAACUCUAAAAUCAAGAAACCUUUAAGCCUUAGAGCAGUGGGAAAACUAAUCAACAGGGAAAACAAUCUGUUUUAAUUUGGGUUCCUUAACUCACAUCCACAGACAAAUCCUCAACUCCUCAGAUAUGAAUCUAUCAAA
Long non-coding RNA from Prinia subflava (tawny-flanked prinia), 1945 nucleotides. RefSeq lists it as uncharacterized. The transcript has 3 exons. Lineage: Eukaryota; Metazoa; Chordata; Aves; Passeriformes; Cisticolidae. The record is from RefSeq and is a predicted model, not a curated record.